AUUAAAGAAAAGAGUGUAUACAUUUUGGACACUUUUUAGAUGAUUAUGGAUGUUUUUACAUUUUUAGUACUUCUAUGGAUACGUUUUGAUAUUUCCCUCUGGCAACACUCGCCACUAAGCCAAGACUUCUGGGCGCCUAGUUCAACAUGCCGGGUAUAUCGCAUCCCUGCGUUAUUUGCAAAAGGGGAAAGGAUACACAUCCACAUUUUCAUUUUCAUCGGUUUCCAAAGGACGGAGAUAGGUAACUUAAGUAUUUAACCUCUUGUGAGUUACAGUGCAAAUGUGCAAUUAUAUAUUGAAAUACAUUUCAAAUCUGAUGUAAUAUCACUCAUGACGCUCCAUCAACGUCUAUGACGUCACGAUUAACUUUUGGACCCAGCCAAUAGAUGGCGCUAUUAUUAAGGUGUCUGGCAACAACACCGUACAAACAUCUCACAUAGUUUAGUUGAACCUUUCCUGUCUUGGGGGGAGCAUCUGCCGCAGCCACAGUGUUUGUAAACAACCUCUGGUAGGAGAGCACCUGUCACCUGUGCUUAUAAUUAUGGCCAAUUACCACGUUAUUUGUGUAUGGAAAAUAAUAUAUCCAGGAGAUAAGUACUGUCGCCCCAAGUGGUCACCAAGAGAUGCACGAGACUCUUAUUUGAUUGAAAAUGGCCAGACUGGUGCAUGCUCUAUGGCACCUCAGUUACCCAGAGAGAUUAGAACACCUACAGCUUAUAUGGUACUUUAGACAGGCAAGAGGUGACUUAAUUGAGGUUUAUAAACAUCUCAGAGGACAUUCUGGAACCAGUACUUGCCAUCAGUGUGUAACAGAGAUGUGACCUCCAGCCCAAGCAAAGAGGAUAAAAGUAAAAGUUAAGAACAAGACUUUACAAAAUUGAACUGCACUAUUACAGCUGAAAAUGACCUCUACUACCACCACCACCACCACCACAGCAUCACCAUGGCACCACUACCACCAUAACACCACUACCACCACCACUAUUACCUAUGGCAAGGUGAAUUAAAGACUAAACCUUAACUAACAACUCGUGCAUGGAGAAACUGCAGUCACAGUGCAGGGCAGCACGGCACAGCAGUCGUGGGCAGCACAGCAUACAGGCUGCAGGGCAGCACGGCGUACAGGCUGCAGGGCAGCACGGC
Homarus americanus (American lobster) is the source of this 1143-nucleotide long non-coding RNA. RefSeq lists it as uncharacterized. NCBI's taxonomy places the organism in Eukaryota, Metazoa, Arthropoda, Malacostraca, Decapoda, Nephropidae. The transcript has 4 exons. The record is from RefSeq and is a predicted model, not a curated record.